GACGAACGCUGGCGGCGUGCUUAACACAUGCAAGUCGAACGGAAAGGCCCCCACUUUUUUGGUGGGGGUGCUCGAGUGGCGAACGGGUGAGUAACACGUGGGUGAUCUGCCCUGUACUUCAGGAUAAGCUUGGGAAACUGGGUCUAAUACCGGAUAGGACCAUGGUUUAGUGUCUCAUGGUGGAAAAAUUAUUGUUUUGGUGCAGGAUGAGCUCGCGGCCUAUCAGCUUGUUGGUGGGGUAAUGGCCUACCAAGGCGUCGACGGGUAGCCGGCCUGAGAGGGUGGACGGCCACAUUGGGACUGAGAUACGGCCCAGACUCCUACGGGAGGCAGCAGUGGGGAAUAUUGCACAAUGGGCGCAAGCCUGAUGCAGCGACGCCGCGUGGGGGAUGACGGCCUUCGGGUGGUAAACUCCUUUCGUUAGGGACGAAGCCGCACCUUUUUUGGGUGUGGUGACGGUACCUUUGUUAAGAAGCACCGGCUAACUACGUG
RNAcentral lists this ribosomal RNA (492 nucleotides) under uncultured bacterium. RNAcentral describes it as "partial 16S ribosomal RNA". It matches the Rfam family "Bacterial small subunit ribosomal RNA", at positions 28 to 507 of the family's 1533-position model. The record is from RNAcentral.